UGAAAAAUGGGCCUCCCUGAUGUGUGAU
Molecule: non-coding RNA, 28 nt
Filed under: Mus musculus (house mouse)
Lineage: Eukaryota; Metazoa; Chordata; Mammalia; Rodentia; Muridae
Source: RNAcentral